CAGGACCGGUGGGCCUUGAUCCCACAAUUCAACUAGUUAACAGCUAGUGGCUUCAACCAAUAAGCAUCAAUCCAGAGUAAAAUAGACCUCA
This 91-nucleotide transfer RNA is filed under the name Hydrosaurus sp. 1 CDS-2013. Its description in RNAcentral is "tRNA-Asx". The record is from RNAcentral. Lineage: Eukaryota; Metazoa; Chordata; Lepidosauria; Squamata; Agamidae.